This 253-nucleotide ribosomal RNA is filed under the name uncultured bacterium. Its description in RNAcentral is "partial 16S ribosomal RNA". It matches the Rfam family "Bacterial small subunit ribosomal RNA", at positions 524 to 776 of the family's 1533-position model. The record is from RNAcentral.
UACGUAGGUGGCAAGCGUUAUCCGGAUUCACUGGGCGUAAAGCGCGCGUAGGUGGUCCUUCAAGUCAGGUGUUAAAUAUUCCGGCUUAACUGGAAAAUGUCAUCUGAUACUGCUGGACUUGAGGACGGUAGAGGGAGGUGGAAUUCCCGGUGUAGUGGUGAAAUGCGUAGAUAUCGGGAGGAACACCAGUGGCGAAAGCGGCCUCCUAGGCCGUUCCUGACACUGAGGCGCGAAAGCGUGGGGAGCGAACAGG